This 450-nucleotide ribosomal RNA is filed under the name uncultured bacterium. RNAcentral describes it as "partial 16S ribosomal RNA". It matches the Rfam family "Bacterial small subunit ribosomal RNA", at positions 354 to 796 of the family's 1533-position model. The record is from RNAcentral.
GUGGGGAAUAUUGGACAAUGGGCGAAAGCCUGAUCCAGCCAUGCCGCGUGUGUGAAGAAGGUCUUCGGAUUGUAAAGCACUUUAAGUUGGGAGGAAGGGCAGUAAGUUAAUACCUUGCUGUUUUGACGUUACCGACAGAAUAAGCACCGGCUAACUUCGUGCCAGCAGCCGCGGUAAUACGAAGGGUGCAAGCGUUAAUCGGAAUUACUGGGCGUAAAGCGCGCGUAGGUGGUUUUGUAAGUUGGAGGUGAAAGCCCCGGGCUCAACCUUGGAACUGCCUCCAAAACUGCAUGACUAGAGUACGGUAGAGGGUAGUGGAAUUUCCUGUGUAGCGGUGAAAUGCGUAGAUAUAGGAAGGAACACCAGUGGCGAAGGCGACUACCUGGACUGAUACUGACACUGAAGUGCGAAAGCGUGGGGAGCAAACAGGAUUAGAUAGCCGUGUAGUCC